UGCCUAAACCCAGCAGAAAUGCGGGGCAUGGCAUAAAGCCAGUCAAGGGUAGAGAUCCCAUCGUUGGGGAACACCUUGACUGGUCUAUGCCCGAAAGGGUGUAGGGUAGCGAAAGCUAUC
RNAcentral lists this small RNA (120 nucleotides) under unclassified sequences. Its description in RNAcentral is "LOOT RNA". It matches the Rfam family "LOOT RNA". From Rfam's summary of the family: Latescibacteria, OD1/Parcubacteria, OP11, TM7. Lineage (Microgenomates, aka OP11) The record is from Rfam by way of RNAcentral.